This 111-nucleotide small RNA is filed under the name Afipia sp. P52-10. Its description in RNAcentral is "Guanidine-I riboswitch aptamer". It matches the Rfam family "Guanidine-I riboswitch aptamer". From Rfam's summary of the family: This family represents a conserved RNA structure found upstream of the ykkC and yxkD genes in Bacillus subtilis and related genes in other bacteria. The function of this family is unclear although it has been suggested that it may function to switch on efflux pumps and detoxification systems in response to harmful environmental molecules. Lineage: Bacteria; Pseudomonadati; Pseudomonadota; Alphaproteobacteria; Hyphomicrobiales; Nitrobacteraceae. RNAcentral also lists the same sequence under 1 other name. The record is from Rfam by way of RNAcentral.
CGAGUUAGCCGCUAGGGUUCCGGCCUCCUGCCAGGAGGCGCUGGUCCGAGAGCGACUGCUUGCGAGGGACAAAUCCUCGCAGGUGCACGGCGGGACAAAAGCCCGGGAGAC